ACCAGAGUGCUAGAGCUAAACGUGAGUGAGCACCAAGGGGUGCUGAGAGACAGCACCAAAGAGGGCAGGAGAGGUGUAUAAACACCUAGGCUGAGAGUACUACAAGCACAUAAAAGCUUGGUAGUAGAGAAACUAGAGAGAGGGGAAACAGGGGUUUGAGAGAUAGCUUUGUAUUUACAAGAGAGGGUGAGGGACAAAGCUUGUAACCUCUUGAUCUAGUGGAUUGGUAGCUAGCCUACCCCCUGAGAUGUAGGUACCUCGAAUGAGGCCGAACUCAGGGUCAUAUUCCUCUGUCUUUUGCAAAUCUUAAAAAGCUGAAGUCACUAGACCUACCAAGCAACCAAUUGACCAGGACUAUUCCUCAAUUUUGGACAACCAACUCAAGAGUGAAAUAGGACAAGGAACAAAGAUUACAAAGCAACCUAAAUCUUCCUUUGAAGAGAAUGCAGGGCUCUCUGGUUUUCCUCUAGAGUAAAGUUGCUUUGACACUAACGCGGUGGCCAAUACAACAAAACUAUAAUCAUGAAGAAGAAGAAAGUCAUGAAGUGCUAAAUUGGAUAUCAGUAACACCAUGAUGGACCUGGAGUGUUGCUUGUGUUGGCUACAGGUCAAGUCAUCGUUUCAUACAAACCAGAAUGGGUUGUGAAGAUAAUUAGUGUGAAUAAGCGCAUAAACGUUAGGAUUGUUCAAGUUUUGAGUUUGAGCUUUCAACGUCUGUCGAGUAGUUGUUGAUCUUGUAUUAAAGCAUUUCAUUGUGUUUUCUUUGUGUAUCACUCGAAUUGUUUCGAUUUGAGUUUGAUUUUUCCUUGUC
Long non-coding RNA from Brassica oleracea var. oleracea, 811 nucleotides. RefSeq lists it as uncharacterized. The transcript is spliced from 2 exons. The record is from RefSeq and is a predicted model, not a curated record. Lineage: Eukaryota; Viridiplantae; Streptophyta; Magnoliopsida; Brassicales; Brassicaceae.